GAUGAACGCUGGCGGCGUGCCUAAUACAUGCAAGUCGAGCGAACGGACGAGAAGCUUGCUUCUCUGAUGUUAGCGGCGGACGGGUGAGUAACACGUGGAUAACCUACCUAUAAGACUGGGAUAACUUCGGGAAACCGGAGCUAAUACCGGAUGAUAUUUUGAACCGCAUGGUUCAAAAGUGAAAGACGGUCUUGCUGUCACUUAUAGAUGGAUCCGCGCUGCAUUAGCUAGUUGGUAAGGUAACGGCUUACCAAGGCAACGAUGCAUAGCCGACCUGAGAGGGUGAUCAGCCACACUGGAACUGAGACACGGUCCAGACUCCUACGGGAGGCAGCAGUAGGGAAUCUUGCGCAAUGGGCGAAAGCCUGACGGAGCAACGCCGCGUGAGUGAUGAAGGUCUUCGGAUCGUAAAACUCUGUUAUUAGGGAAGAACAUAUGUGUAAGUAACUGUGGACAUCUUGACGGUACCUAAUCAGAAAGCAACGGCUAACUACGUG
This 497-nucleotide ribosomal RNA is filed under the name uncultured bacterium. RNAcentral's name for it is "partial 16S ribosomal RNA". It matches the Rfam family "Bacterial small subunit ribosomal RNA", at positions 28 to 507 of the family's 1533-position model. The record is from RNAcentral.